UCAUUAAAUUAAUUCAAUUAAACGUUCCUUUAUUCGGUUCUUUGAAAUUAGAUAUAAUUACCAACACGGAUACUGUGUUCAAAUCACGAUUCCCAUUGUCUGCUGUUCCAAAUAAUAUUUAAUUGCACUGUAUUAUUUGGAUACUAUUCUAUUCAAUCGUGGGUUCGAAUUACGGACAAAGUUUCUGUAAUCUCGAGGGAUGGUUUGAUGGUAUGCAAUUCAUUCGCCACAUUGUAGUCUUAACGGUAUAAAAAUUGUAUAAAACGCGUUAUUUUCUAUGCUUCGAACUGCCCGCUUUGUUUCAUCGAUCGAACGAUCCCUCGAAUAAUUCCAUAUCCACGAAGAAUUUCAAGUUAUCGUAAAGUCGUGGGGCUAUGUGACGGCAUACAUGUGUACAUUUCAUUUACUGCCCUGUAUGUACAUAUACGAAUACAAGUUACGAUUGUAUGGUGAUCUAAGUGGUAAAAUUGACUCAUAAGCGAAAUAGUGUUUGCUCUAGGUUCACUUCUGCGUGUGUGCAUAUUACGAUAUCGAUUGAUAGCGAUUAUCCAUAGACGAAAUGUAAGUCGUGACCAGUGACUAGACACACCUAAGGAUCGAUUGUAAAGGAAAAUGGAAAAAAAAAUCCCAAACUCAAACGUAGAACCGCUAGAUGUCCUAGUACGAAGAUCUUUCGAGCGAAACUUAGGUUAGAAUAAGCCAAAUCGAGAAGUCACAAAUGAUUAUUACCAGUAUUUAUUUGAAGCGCGAACUUUGGGCUUGGAAAAUAUCAGAAUGGACGAAGAAAACUCGCGUUUUUACCUGAACCUGCAAAGAACUUUAUAGUUAGCUUCCCUUGACGUCCAUGUUCAGCAGAUGUUCUAUGACUCACCAAAUUCCGACGUAAUUAAUCAGGAAAAAGACAGUUUUAGAUGAGAAGACGAGAAAAAAAAAAAAAGAAAAGACGCAGAAGGAGAAAAAGAUAUAUUGGGAGGCGAUAAAGUAUCUAUUUUUACACUUAACUGAAAAAUGCUGAAGAAAAUUGCGAAGAAAAAAAAGAAGAAAUGAUAGAUGAAAAAGAUGAUGAAAAAGGAAAGUUUCUUCUUGAUUCGAAGUAUUUGAUCGUUCGAUAGAAUUUAAAGAUUUCCCGUGACCCGAUCUUCUACGAACAAAAGAUAAUCGAUAAGAGGAAAAUGAACAUGCACGCUGAUUCGACGAACUUUGUGUGAAGUUCAUAUAUUGUAAAUUGUGCGAAGAAAUGAGAACGAUAGAGCUUUUGGGAUUUUCAGUAACGUUUAGACUCGCGAGUAGUAGAUUAUGCGAUUCUGUGUUCAAUCGAGAAAAAUAUUUGGGGUUAGGAUGUUAUCUCGACAGGUUCUUGUGAAUGCAAUUUUCGGAGGCGCUUAGAUAUUCAGAUACAAAAUACAAGAAAAUCAUUGAAUAAUGCUCCAUAAAAUCUACAUCAAUUUCGAGUAAUCGUAGUAUUUGCUUUUAAAGUGAAAAGAUUUCUAUAACCUGCGAAGUUGCGUUACGGAAAAUAUAUCGAUCAUUCCACUGAAUCUGUCGCGAGUGAAAUUUUGCACUUCGCUGUUGAUCAGAUUUCAUGGUAAUUAUAUAGUGUUCAUAUUCUAUUUGUAAAACUUCCUUCUGACUUGCAUUCACCGGACAGGAAAAACUGUAUACUGUAAGCGUGUGUCAUUUUUUCGAUUCUCAUAAGCUGACGUACUGCAGAAUAUACGAGAGGAAAAUGUAACGAGAUUCGACAUCGAUAGUAACUAACGCAACCUCGAGGAAAUUUUUUUUG
Long non-coding RNA from Eufriesea mexicana, 1783 nucleotides. RefSeq lists it as uncharacterized. The transcript has 5 exons. Lineage: Eukaryota; Metazoa; Arthropoda; Insecta; Hymenoptera; Apidae. The record is from RefSeq and is a predicted model, not a curated record.